This is a long non-coding RNA of Homo sapiens (human), 2779 nucleotides long. Lineage: Eukaryota; Metazoa; Chordata; Mammalia; Primates; Hominidae. The record is from Ensembl.
GGACGCGCGGGCGGCCGUCCCUCCGCCCGUCCCCCCCGCCAGGCCGGCCAAUCAGCACCGCCGAGGCUCGGGGGCUUGGCCCGGCCGCCCGCAGACCUGGGCCUCGCACCUCGCGCCCGGAUGCCGCUCUCUCCCCGCGCGGUCACCCGUUCCCUGGGAAGCAGAGUGGGCAGCUGUGGCAGAUGGGACUGAUGGGACGAGGACGACGCGUGGAAAUGACUGUGAGGGUGGACAGAGGCCUGGGGGUCUGGAUCUGUCACCAAGGCUGGAGUGCCAGGGCACCACCAUAGCUCACUGCAGCCUCGCUCUCCCAGGCUUAAGUGAUCCUCCUGCUUCAGCUCCUGGAGUAGCUGGGAUUACAGAACUCUGAACGGAGAAGGUGGAAAGGGCCUUCAGCGGAAGUCCAGGUUACUUACUAAAGCGGAAUGGAAGCCAACAGAUACCAGCGUUUAUAUUUUAUUCAACUUUAUUAAAAAUUAAAACUACAGAAACCAAACCGAAUGCACAAAUAAGAGAGUGGGGAAACAGACAGGGAGCAAUGGCAGCUGAUAACUGUGGCGAGUGGAUAAUCCGCAUGACUCACAUCCCACCCCUGCGACUGAGGAGCCCAGAACGCUGCGCUGGCACUGUCGUGCCCUCUUCCACCACAGGGGCACAGAAACCUGCAGGAGACUGAAAACGAUUACAAACAUCUUCAACCAGCUCUCUGGCCAAAGGCAGCAAAAGCAGCCUGAAUACGCAACUCACGCCAAGAGGGCAGCAGCUCUCCUGACAUCCAUGUAAGAAGGCUAACACCUAAACCACACGCAGGCAUCCUGAACUCAGCAGCUCUGAUCCAAGGUACUGAGUGGAGACAAAGCACUCGGAGGUGGCAAGAUGUUCAGCAACCAAGUAAGACACACUGGCAAGGCAUCCCACCCAAAGGUGAGAAGCACAAAGCAGGCUUGGAGAAACAAACAGUCAUGCCAGGUGCAGCCAGACAUCCUGCUAUAAGCCCUGACCCUAGUACCCCGAGUUCAUCAAGUGCUCUGGUUUUGUGUCCAUAAAGCACAGAGGGCACUGACCACCCCAAACCAGAAUCCCAAGGAAUCCUUAUGGAUGGCAUAGGGCCUCAGAACUGCUGCAGGAUCAUUUUCCUUUUCAGGUCGUGGCUGAACUUGUUCAUCCUGAAGAGCUCACUGUCAUAAAAUGCAGAGAGGUUGUGGAUGUUGAUCUGACGAGCCUGCAAGGAGGAAGUGUCCAGUGAGCCAUCAGUGGUGUGAGAACAGGCUGUUUCCAGAGCGCCCCAGUUACAGUGCACUUUCAGACACCAUCACCUCCAUUUAUGGGAGGAAAAUAUCCAGGGGUGGAGAGGCCGAUUAAGGGGCUUCAAAUCUCUGCUGUACAAGCUGUGCGUGUAAACUGAGACAAGUUACUUGGCUGCCCUGUAUCUGUCUCCACCUCUGCACAACAGGAAGGCAGUAACAGGACUCACCUCACUCCCCUGCUGUCAGACUACAGGCACAGAACUGGACUCAACAGACUGUAAGCAUUCAAUAAAUGGCUGUCAACCAAGGCCCACCCACUUCAUGACCCAUUAUGAUGGAGCCCCCAUCAGGAGACUGGCAGCUCCCAAGUCAGCAUACCCCAACCCUCACCUCCCUUCCGGGCCCAUACCUUAUCCACCAAGUCCUUCUCAGGGACCUCAAUAGUGUCCUGCUGGGCCCCAAAGCGGUUGCGCUGAUAUGUCACCUGCUCUGCCACUAACUGCUUCAGUAUGAAGAGCAACAGCUCAUUGUUGUCACGCCGGAAUGAAAGGUAGCGGGCAAAAGUCUGCAGGAAAAAAGCCUCAGUCAAACACCCGCUCCCACUACGCCUGCCACACUCCCUUUACCCUACGUGCCAGCACCCAGGUCAGACAGGCUGCCGCUCCUGGGUGCACGUCCAGGCCAGAGCCCUGGAUACCCACGUGUGGCCUCCUUCACUGAGCUUGCCCAUCAGGCCCCUACCUCGGAGCACACCCACCUUGCGCAUGCUGCGCAUGACGCUGAACUUCUGUGUGUCUAUGAAGCUCUCCAGCAUCACGCGGAUGGCCAUGUUGACGUCGUCUUCGAUCACAUAGUCCCGCAGAUGGAUGCGCGCGUGGGCCUCCGCCAUGCGGAUCAUGGACUCGAUGUGCCGCACCGUAAUGGGGAUGCUGCCUGUCGCCUGGAGAGAAGCACAGUGUCAGGUCUUUCACGGGCAGGAAAGAGAAGCAAGGAAAAUAAAGCAGCGGCACUCUUAGCACCCAGAGCCAAGAAGACCCAUCUGACAGUGCCCCAGCAGAAAUGCAGAAUGCUUGACUGCGCUGCCCAGUGAAUGCACACUUCCUAUCCCUCCUGGAAAUCAGAGGAUGCCAGUGGAUGCUGCAUGCUUACGGCCUGUCACCAUCACACCUGCACAGUUCUGCUCCCACCAGCUGACUUCUGUGCAUCUCAGAGGCUGUUGUAUUUGUGGCCAGCUGUAUUGGUUAUUGUCACACACUAAAUAUUGAAUAAUCCUGUACAAUGUAAGUGCAAAAAAAGGUCGUUGUUUGUAGGAAAACUAAAUUGAAUGAUCUGAAAAAACUUGGUAAAGUUAAAAGGCAGAAAUUUGAAAAGCUGCUGUGUUGACUGGGUGUGGCUGAGGCAGCAAUCUACAAGGACUCGGCAUUCCCAUGGCUUGCAAGCUGCUUUAAGUUUCCAUUCCACUAUGAAUGAGCCAAAGACCUUGUGUUCAUUAGAGUGAAAUUUACACAAAGUCAAUAUGGAACUUAAUAAGC